Molecule: ribosomal RNA, 982 nt
Filed under: human oral metagenome
Description: bacterial LSU rRNA
Rfam family: Bacterial large subunit ribosomal RNA
Source: RNAcentral
ACGGUCCUAAGGUAGCGAAAUUCCUUGUCGGGUAAGUUCCGACCUGCACGAAUGGCAUAAUGAUGGCCAGGCUGUCUCCACCCGAGACUCAGUGAAAUUGAAAUCGCCGUGAAGAUGCGGUGUACCCGCGGCUAGACGGAAAGACCCCGUGAACCUUUACUAUAGCUUGACACUGAACAUUGAAUUUUGAUGUGUAGGAUAGGUGGGAGCCUUAGAAGCAGUCACGCCAGUGAUUGUGGAGGCGUCCUUGAAAUACCACCCUUUAACGUUUGAUGUUCUAACGAAGAUUACGAAACGUGGUCUCGGACAGUGUCUGGUGGGUAGUUUGACUGGGGCGGUCUCCUCCCAAAGAGUAACGGAGGAGCACGAAGGUUUGCUAAUGACGGUCGGACAUCGUCAGGUUAGUGCAAUGGUAUAAGCAAGCUUAACUGCGAGACAGACAAGUCGAGCAGGUACGAAAGUAGGUCAUAGUGAUCCGGUGGUUCUGAAUGGAAGGGCCAUCGCUCAACGGAUAAAAGGUACUCCGGGGAUAACAGGCUGAUACCGCCCAAGAGUUCAUAUCGACGGCGGUGUUUGGCACCUCGAUGUCGGCUCAUCACAUCCUGGGGCUGAAGUAGGUCCCAAGGGUAUGGCUGUUCGCCAUUUAAAGUGGUACGCGAGCUGGGUUUAGAACGUCGUGAGACAGUUCGGUCCCUAUCUGCCGUGGGCGUUGGAGAAUUGAUUGGGGCUGCUCCUAGUACGAGAGGACCGGAGUGGACGCACCACUGGUGUUCCGGUUGUGUCGCCAGACGCAUUGCCGGGUAGCUAAGUGCGGAAGAGAUAAGUGCUGAAAGCAUCUAAGCACGAAACUUGCCAAGAGAUGAGUUCUCCCAGAUUAUAAAUCUGUAAGGGUUGUUUAAGACUAAGACGUAGAUAGGCAUGGUGUGUAAGCGGUGCGAGCCGUUGAGCUAACAUGUACUAAUUGCCCGAGAGGCUUAACUAU